UCAGUUUCAGUCAAAUUUUUUUCAAAUUGGUACAAUCCUGUGCAGAUUGCAUGGUGCCUGCACUAGGAUGACAUGCAACUUUGUGAAGCGUUCCAUAAGUAU
This is a small nuclear RNA of Hyla sarda, 102 nucleotides long. Lineage: Eukaryota; Metazoa; Chordata; Amphibia; Anura; Hylidae. The record is from RefSeq and is a predicted model, not a curated record.